GAUUCUAAGGACAAUGUGAAUCAUUGUUGGAGUGUUUGGAGAUGAUGGACAUCCUGGCUGCUCCCAGCCAUGAGAUGAAGAAACUGACAGACUGAAUGAGGCAAAGUAUGACUUACUUGAGAUCAUACAGGUAUGGACAGAAUCCAGGAUUUGCAUCCAGGUGGUUUCCCCAGCGUGUACACUGGUUCAAACAGGAGUCCAAAAGCUGUCCCUCGGGUGUACGAUGUCUGAUAAAGAUGAAGCCAAUGCAUAAAGUCAUCCAACUUCACUUCACGAAAAUGUCAUACCAUAUAACUUUUCUAAAUUGGAAGUUUGCUGUUCCAGUGCCAAUGUUAUAAAAACAUUCCCUGACUAUAAAAUGGAAAAGAAAGGAAAAUGGGGCAUGGAGUAAAAGAGGCAGUCUUGUUCUCAAGAACUAGGAGGGCUGGUCACCCAUUGAAGAAAAUCUUUAUUUUUUUUCCUAUAUGAAAACAUACGAACUCAUUCUUGUGUAAUUUAAUUCAGCAAAUGUUUGUUAAAUGUCCUUACUAUAUAGGACACUUGUAGAAGAAAGCAGAAGGGUAAGAAAGUGCUCCAGUUUUGCUUUUCCAAUUUUAUUUUGUUUUAUUCUAUUUUAUUAAAA
This is a long non-coding RNA of Monodelphis domestica (gray short-tailed opossum), 622 nucleotides long. RefSeq lists it as uncharacterized. NCBI's taxonomy places the organism in Eukaryota, Metazoa, Chordata, Mammalia, Didelphimorphia, Didelphidae. The record is from RefSeq and is a predicted model, not a curated record.